Molecule: long non-coding RNA, 937 nt
Organism: Oncorhynchus tshawytscha (Chinook salmon)
Lineage: Eukaryota; Metazoa; Chordata; Actinopteri; Salmoniformes; Salmonidae
Source: Ensembl
AUUAUCCUUCCUCAGCAUAUUUUCUGCGCCAAAGAUUGUAUGUAUGUAUGUAUGUAUGUAUGUAUGUAUGUAUGUAUGUAUGUAUGUAUGUAUGUAUGGUGUAUCACUGGCAACCUGAUUUCCCAGACAUGUGGGGCCCUCUACUGUCCAUAUUGACAAGGUUCUACUCAGAUACAAGGGAUUCUUUAAGCAGACAAUAUGCAGGAAAAUAACUGACAUACUGAAGGUUGGAGCGAAGUAGAAGGUGCUCAACCAACGUCAGACGAGAUGCAACCAGCAAUCCUAUUGGCUGUCGAGGCGCAACCAGCAAUCCUAUUGGCUGUCGAGGUGCAACCAGCAAUCCUAUUGGCUGUCGAGGUGCAACCAGCAAUCCUAUUGGCCAUCAGGUGAAGGCCAAUGCAUCUCGAUUCUAACGGUCAGCGAGUCUGAAGAAAACGAAUAGUCCACAACGCGGUUGAUUAAAUUAAAAACAUUUUUAAUCAGUAAAAAUCUGUUCAACAUUUCACAUGUAAAACAGCUGCAUCUUCUCUAUACCUGAAUUAACACAGAAAGAUAUUUUUAGCGAUUCUUGUAAAAAUAGAUUAAUUUAACAAAAAUAAACAAAAACAAAAUGCACAUUCUCUAUGGAGAAAUCACUUGGUGCUCCUUGGGGGAAAAAAAAAAAAAAAAAAAAAAAAACCAGGCUUCAGAAGACAGCUUCUCACUACUAAACUCACCUAGGGUUAUGUCCCAAAUGGUACCCUAUUAGCUAGACUAGCACUGCAUAGAGAAUAGGGUGCCAUUUGAGACGUAUUUCUAGUGUUCAUCGGCCCAUUGGGCUUAUUCCAUUUCUUGUUGUUCCAUGUCACCGACUGCCCAUUUGACUUGUAUUUGUGUCUCUCUGUGACGGGGCUGGUCCCUCCUCUCUGACCUCACUGGGUAGAACCUUCUCCCGGAC